GCACCCGUAGCACAACUGGACAGUGCGUCGGCCUACGGAGCCGAAGGUUGCAGGUUCGAAUCCUGCCGGGUGUA
RNAcentral lists this transfer RNA (74 nucleotides) under Planctomycetota bacterium. RNAcentral's name for it is "tRNA-Arg". It matches the Rfam family "tRNA". Rfam says of the family: Transfer RNA (tRNA) molecules are approximately 80 nucleotides in length. Their secondary structure includes four short double-helical elements and three loops (D, anti-codon, and T loops). Further hydrogen bonds mediate the characteristic L-shaped molecular structure. tRNAs have two regions of fundamental functional importance: the anti-codon, which is responsible for specific mRNA codon recognition, and the 3' end, to which the tRNAs corresponding amino acid is attached (by aminoacyl-tRNA synthetases). tRNAs cope with the degeneracy of the genetic code in two manners: having more than one tRNA (with a specific anti-codon) for a particular amino acid; and 'wobble' base-pairing, i.e. permitting non-standard base-pairing at the 3rd anti-codon position. Lineage: Bacteria; Pseudomonadati; Planctomycetota. The record is from RNAcentral. RNAcentral also lists the same sequence under 1 other name.